Molecule: ribosomal RNA, 403 nt
Filed under: bacterium
Lineage: Bacteria
Also listed under: 1 other name
Description: partial 16S ribosomal RNA
Rfam family: Bacterial small subunit ribosomal RNA
Source: RNAcentral
UGGGGAAUAUUGCACAAUGGGGGAAACCCUGAUGCAGCGACGCCGCGUGAACGAAGAAGGUAUUCGUAUCGUAAAGUUCUGUCCUAUGGGAAGAUAAUGACAGUACCAUAGAAGAAAGCUCCGGCUAAAUACGUGCCAGCAGCCGCGGUAAUACGUAUGGAGCGAGCGUUAUCCGGAAUUAUUGGGCGUAAAGGGUACGCAGGCGGUUUAAUAAGUCGAAUGUUAAAGAUCGGGGCUCAACCCCGUAAAGCAUUGGAAACUGAUAAACUUGAGUAGUGGAGAGGAAAGUGGAAUUCCUAGUGUAGUGGUGAAAUACGUAGAUAUUAGGAGGAAUACCAGUAGCGAAGGCGACUUUCUGGACACAAACUGACGCUGAGGUACGAAAGCGUGGGGAGCAAACAGG